RNAcentral lists this ribosomal RNA (304 nucleotides) under Salmonella enterica subsp. enterica serovar Dublin. RNAcentral describes it as "partial 23S ribosomal RNA". It matches the Rfam family "Bacterial large subunit ribosomal RNA", at positions 26 to 366 of the family's 2925-position model. Lineage: Bacteria; Pseudomonadati; Pseudomonadota; Gammaproteobacteria; Enterobacterales; Enterobacteriaceae. The record is from RNAcentral.
GGAUGCCCUGGCAGUCAGAGGCGAUGAAGGGCGUGCUAAUCUGCGAUAAGCGCCGGUAAGGUGAUAUGAACCGUUAUAACCGGCGAUACCCGAAUGGGGAAACCCAGUGUGACUCGUCACACUAUCAUUAACUGAAUCCAUAGGUUAAUGAGGCGAACCGGGGGAACUGAAACAUCUAAGUACCCCGAGGAAAAGAAAUCAACCGAGAUUCCCCCAGUAGCGGCGAGCGAACGGGGAGGAGCCCAGAGCCUGAAUCAGCAUGUGUGUUAGUGGAAGCGUCUGGAAAGGCGCGCGAUACAGGGUG